CUGUCUUAGUGGCGGACGGGUGAGUAACGCGUGGGCAACCUGCCCUGUACCGGGGGAUAACACUUAGAAAUAGGUGCUAAUACCGCAUAAUAGGGAAUACCGCAUGGUAAUCCUUUGAAAACUCCGGUGGUACAGGAUGGGCCCGCGUCUGAUUAGCCAGUUGGCGGGGUAACGGCCCACCAAAGCGACGAUCAGCAGCCGGCCUGAGAGGGUGAACGGCCACAUUGGGACUGAGACACGGCCCAAACUCCUACGGAAGGCAGCAG
Molecule: ribosomal RNA, 266 nt
Filed under: uncultured bacterium
Lineage: Bacteria
Description: partial 16S ribosomal RNA
Rfam family: Bacterial small subunit ribosomal RNA
Source: RNAcentral